Molecule: ribosomal RNA, 253 nt
Filed under: uncultured bacterium
Lineage: Bacteria
Description: partial 16S ribosomal RNA
Rfam family: Bacterial small subunit ribosomal RNA
Source: RNAcentral
UACAGAGGGGGCAAGCGUUGUUCGGAAUUACUGGGCGUAAAGGGCGCGUAGGCGGCCUUCUAAGUCGAACGUGAAAUCCCCGGGCUCAACCCGGGAACUGCGUCCGAUACUGGAAGGCUUGAAUCCGGGAGAGGGAUGCGGAAUUCCAGGUGUAGCAGUGAAAUGCGUAGAUAUCUGGAGGAACACCGGUGGCGAAGGCGGCAUCCUGGACCGGCAUUGACGCUGAGGCGCGAAAGCGUGGGGAGCAAACAGG